This 520-nucleotide ribosomal RNA is filed under the name uncultured Glomus. RNAcentral describes it as "SSU rRNA". It matches the Rfam family "Eukaryotic small subunit ribosomal RNA", at positions 569 to 1091 of the family's 1831-position model. The record is from RNAcentral. Lineage: Eukaryota; Fungi; Glomeromycota; Glomeromycetes; Glomerales; Glomeraceae.
AGCAGCCGCGGUAAUUCCAGCUCCAAUAGCGUAUAUUAAAGUUGUUGCAGUUAAAAAGCUCGUAGUUGAAUUUCGGGAUCAAGUCGUCGGUCGUGCUCAGGUACGUACUGGCGUCAUUGAUUUCUCCCUUCUGACGAACCAUGAUGUCAUUAAUUUGGUGUUAUGGGAAAUCAGGACUGUUACUUUGAAAAAAUUAGAGUGUUUAAAGCAGGCUCACGCUUGAAUACAUUAGCAUGGAAUAAUGAAAUAGGACGUUCGAUCCUAUUUUGUUGGUUUUAGGAUCAACGUAAUGAUUAAUAGGGAUAGUUGGGGGCAUUAGUAUUCAAUUGUCAGAGGUGAAAUUCUUGGAUUUAUUGAAGACUAACUACUGCGAAAGCAUUUGCCAAGGAUGUUUUCAUUAAUCAAGAACGAAAGUUAGGGGAUCGAAGACGAUCAGAUACCGUCGUAGUCUUAACCAUAAACUAUGCCGACUAGGGAUCGGAUGAUGUUAAUUUUUUUAAUGACUCAUUCGGCGCCUUAC